GACGAACGCUGGCGGCGUGCUUAACACAUGCAAGUCGAGCGGUAAGGCCCUUUCGGGGGUACACGAGCGGCGAACGGGUGAGUAACACGUGGGUGACCUGCCCUCAGCUCUGGGAUAAGCCUGGGAAACCGGGUCGUAAUACCGGAUAUGACUCCAUGACGCAUGUUGUGGGGUGGAAAGCCUUGUGCGGCUGAGGAUGGGCCCGCGGCCUAUCAGCUUGUUGGUGGGGUGAUGGCCUACCAAGGCGACGACGGGUAGCCGGCCUGAGAGGGCGACCGGCCACACUGGGACUGAGACACGGCCCAGACUCCUACGGGAGGCAGCAGUGGGGAAUCUUGCGCAAUGGCGAAAGCCUGACGCAGCGACGCCGCGUGA
This 375-nucleotide ribosomal RNA is filed under the name uncultured bacterium. Its description in RNAcentral is "bacterial SSU rRNA". It matches the Rfam family "Bacterial small subunit ribosomal RNA", at positions 28 to 404 of the family's 1533-position model. The record is from RNAcentral.